UAAAGGAAAUUUUCUGGUGUUACACUAGU
Molecule: small RNA, 29 nt
Filed under: Bombyx mori (domestic silkworm)
Lineage: Eukaryota; Metazoa; Arthropoda; Insecta; Lepidoptera; Bombycidae
Description: ovarian small RNA-18347
Source: RNAcentral